Long non-coding RNA from Nerophis ophidion (straightnose pipefish), 1083 nucleotides. RefSeq lists it as uncharacterized. Lineage: Eukaryota; Metazoa; Chordata; Actinopteri; Syngnathiformes; Syngnathidae. The record is from RefSeq and is a predicted model, not a curated record. The transcript is spliced from 3 exons.
GGUUGUGACACAUUGAAUCCCAUGCGACACUGAGAGCUGGUCGGAAUAAACACAUUGCUUGUACAAACCGUCUGAUCGUCCCAACCCAUACCACGACAACAAACUUACCCUCAAAGGAGAUCGCAAAAAGCCGCCGCCUGACCAGGGCUCAGAAAAUCUCCAAAGACUCCCCCCACCUCCACCAAGGACUGCUGGACUCUAGGAAAAGGUUCCAAAGCAGAACCUCCAGGUUCUGUAACAGCUUCUUCUCUCAGGCCGAGCUGUGGAACCCGGAGCAAGCAUGCUCCCCUGGACUGACAGUGGGUUUGCUGCCACAUUCACUCCCUGAAUCGCAGCUGUUGGCUUGUUGGAGGACACCAUCAAGACAAUAAGGUGGAAUAAACGCCAAACAGAUGUUACUCCCCCAGUUCCCACCACAGCUAUUGAUGGACACAACAGGAUUUUUUUUUUUCAAAGGCAGGGUCUGGGUUUUCAGCUCAGAGGUCAGCCGAAUAGCUUUUACUAAGGUGAUGACAUCAAAAUUUUAUUAAGAUGUCUUAUUUAUGUGACUGGGUUGGCCCAUUAACCUGAAAACCGAAUAAAACCUCAUUCAAUUCCAUUGUCCUAGAUCAGGGACAAUGGAGCCAUAUUUGACCAAAAAUACAAAAAUCCGCCUGGAGCCUCAAAAAAAUAUAAGCCAUAUUACAUACAUAAAGUGUGUCAUGAGAUAUACAUUGAAUUAUGAGGACUUAAAGGCCUACUGAAACCCACUACUACCGACCACGCAGUCUGAUAGUUUAUAUAUCAAUGAUGAAAUAUUAACAUUGCAACACAUGCCAAUACGGCCGGUUUAGUUUACGAAAUUGCAAUUUUAAAUCAGGCUUGCCACUGACAGUUUGUUUGUGUUUUAGUUUUUCCUCCGUGUGUUUAGUAUUUCCUGUUUUUAGUUCCUGUCAGCGUUCUUAUUUCCUGUUUUUUCCCCCUGUGCGCUGUUUUCCCUUAGCUGCGGCUGAUUGGCACCUGGCCACACCUGGUGUCAAUCAGCCCGAUUUUAUUUGAACCUGUUUUGUCGGGGCAGCAUAGCUCGGUUGGUAGAGUGGCUGU